GCCGUGGUACGAGUUAACUUGCUUCCGUAUCUUAUCACCGUAAUUCUAGGAGGAACCCUAAACUGGACCCCUGUUGUGUUCACUUAUCGUUUACACUGACCUUCGGUGCGAAGCUAUAUAUAGAACGGCGGACCAGUUUAGGAGGAACCCCAUUUCUUACUCUUUAGUUAUUGAAGUUCCUUUGGGUCAGAUGGCAUGACUCCUUUCCGUACACACUCCUCUGUUUACAUUGAGAUCGUUCUUAAUAUAAUACGACGUUUAUCGGCAUUAACGAGUUAAUUCUUCU
Molecule: long non-coding RNA, 286 nt
Filed under: Mytilus galloprovincialis (Mediterranean mussel)
Lineage: Eukaryota; Metazoa; Mollusca; Bivalvia; Mytilida; Mytilidae
Source: RNAcentral